AACAAAACAAUGACAGUGACGUCGUAAAACUUUGUCUGACAAAUAGAAAAACAUUCGAAAAAUAAAUUAAUCAAUAGGUUGUUGAUAGUCAAUAGUCACUGUCAGUGUUAAUGUCAUCGGAUAUUUACUACCAAAUACUAACUGCCACUUGAAUUAAUUUUGAAUUAUGAGUUUUGACUUUCUUUACACUUUACAGGUUAAUGUUAUUUUUGUACAUAAAGGAAUUUCUGUAAUAAAUUAAAUAAAAUUAAAUAAUGUAAAGAACUAUGGCUUCAUCUUGCGACAAGUUGCUUCAUCCAGAAUUAAUGAGCAAUGAAGAACUUCUAUUAAUUAUCGAAGAGGAUACUGAAGUAUCAGAUUGCACGCCACCAAAAAAGGACAGGAAACUAAUAACUUGGCCAUAAGUUUUGUAUAUUCAAAUCUGGACUGAUCUCUAUGCAUUUUAAGUGUACACAAAUUAGAUUUAAGCUUUUGUUAAAUGAUAUGUUGUUCAUAUUAUUUCAGUAAUUCAUCUUAAGCAGGUGUAUGCACUCAUAGUCUUAACUUAAAAAAAAUAUUUAGCCCUGCUCAGCAGACCAUGUUUCUGUUAAUAAGUUUGUGAUAUAAUGCUUAAUAAAUUGUUAUAUUAAAUAAUGAG
Pieris napi is the source of this 637-nucleotide long non-coding RNA. RefSeq lists it as uncharacterized. The transcript is spliced from 2 exons. Lineage: Eukaryota; Metazoa; Arthropoda; Insecta; Lepidoptera; Pieridae. The record is from RefSeq and is a predicted model, not a curated record.